RNAcentral lists this ribosomal RNA (657 nucleotides) under uncultured bacterium. RNAcentral describes it as "bacterial SSU rRNA". It matches the Rfam family "Bacterial small subunit ribosomal RNA", at positions 32 to 688 of the family's 1533-position model. The record is from RNAcentral.
AACGCUGGCGGCGGCCUAACAAUGCAAGUCGAACGGUAACAGGAUGUGCUUGCACAUCGCUGACGAGUGGCGGACGGGUGAGUAAUGCUUGGGAACUUGCCUUUGCGAGGGGGAUAACAGUUGGAAACGGCUGCUAAUACCGCAUAAUGUCUUCGGACCAAACGGGGCUUCGGCUCCGGCGCAAAGAGAGGCCCAAGUGAGAUUAGCUAGUUGGUAAGGUAACGGCUUACCAAGGCGACGAUCUCUAGCUGUUCUGAGAGGAAGAUCAGCCACACUGGGACUGAGACACGGCCCAGACUCCUACGGGAGGCAGCAGUGGGGAAUAUUGCACAAUGGGGGAAACCCUGAUGCAGCCAUGCCGCGUGUGUGAAGAAGGCCUUCGGGUUGUAAAGCACUUUCAGUUGUGAGGAAAAGUUAGUAGUUAAUACCUGCUAGCCGUGACGUUAACAACAGAAGAAGCACCGGCUAACUCCGUGCCAGCAGCCGCGGUAGUACGGAGGGUGCGAGCGUUAAUCGGAAUUACUGGGCGUAAAGCGCACGCAGGCGGUUUGUUAAGCUAGAUGUGAAAGCCCCGGGCUCAACCUGGGAUGGUCAUUUAGAACUGGCAGACUAGAGUCUUGGAGAGGGGAGUGGAAUUCCAGGUGUAGCGGUGAAAUG